GCCUUCGGUGAGAGCUCAGUUGGUAGAGCAUGAGACUUCAUCUUAGGGUUGUGGGUUUGAGCACCAUGUUGGGCA
This is a non-coding RNA of Podarcis lilfordi (Lilford's wall lizard), 75 nucleotides long. The record is from the annotation of a GenBank genome assembly. NCBI's taxonomy places the organism in Eukaryota, Metazoa, Chordata, Lepidosauria, Squamata, Lacertidae.